RNAcentral lists this ribosomal RNA (432 nucleotides) under uncultured eukaryote. RNAcentral's name for it is "bacterial SSU rRNA". It matches the Rfam family "Eukaryotic small subunit ribosomal RNA", at positions 592 to 1018 of the family's 1831-position model. The record is from RNAcentral.
CAGUAGCGUAUAUUAAAGUUGUUGCAGUUAAAAAGCUCGUAGUUGGACUUCUGUCGUGGGGCGCGCCGUCCGCCUGUUUACAGUGCGUUGCACGUUUGCGCUUCCGACAUCCUUCCUGAGAUUAGUCUUCUGCCUUCAUUGGUGUGGAGGCUAUGAUCAGGAUCUUUUACUUUGAAAAAUUAGAGUGUUUAAAGCAGGCUUGUCGCUGUGAAUACAUUAGCAUGGAAUAAUAACUUAGGACUUUGGUCUCUAUUUUGUUGGUUUCUAGGACUGAAGUAAUGAUUGAUAGGGACAGUUGGGGGUGCUAGUAUUCAGCGGCCAGAGGUGAAAUUCUUGGAUUCGCUGAAGACUAACUUAUGCGAAAGCAUUCACCAAGGAUGUCUUCUUUAAUCAAGAACGAAAGUUGGGGGAUCGAAGACGAUCAGAUACCAU